UGAAGAUGUAUGCUUGUAGUGGCAUACCAGUGAUGCCGGAAUAAAUAAAAUCCUUGCCAUUGUAGCUAAAUCCAUGCUUCACCAGAGUUUCACUGAUAGCAUCAACUGUGUCAGCAUGACCACUGGGUUCUCCGAAAGCACUCCCGUAAUGAAACCUACCACAUGAAACACCGGCUUUACUUCCAAGGAGCUCAAUCAUCUUUCCCACUGUCAUUCGGCUUGGAAAUCCGUGAGGAUUCAUAAUAAGAUCAGGGCAAAUGCCACGUUCAGAAAAUGGAAAAUCUUCCUGUUGUACAAUGGUGCCACAGACUCCUUUCUGCCCAUGCCUACUACUAAAUUUGUCACCAAGCUCAGGCCUACGGGUAUGACGGAUCAUAAAUUUGAUGCUUAAAUUGUUGUUUCUAUCAGAAUAAAGAGCCACUCUAUCAACAACAGCUGUCUCCCCUUCAGGACCUUUAUAAGUUUGUUUACUUGACUUGUAUGCACUAUCUGGCAAACCCAUAGGAGACGUGACUGGAGUCCUCGUGACUGUAGGGGACUCCUUGUUGAUA
RNAcentral lists this unclassified non-coding RNA (551 nucleotides) under Hevea brasiliensis (rubber tree). The record is from RNAcentral. Lineage: Eukaryota; Viridiplantae; Streptophyta; Magnoliopsida; Malpighiales; Euphorbiaceae.